GUACUGCCCACAUUCCUCUCGGAGUUCUCCAGGAACAUCCACACAGGGAACAUCCCAGAUGCAGACGAUGUUGCUUUUUAGAGGCCACUGGUUGUCGCUCCUCAGCAGAUUAAUGAGUAUGUCAGCUGACUAAAGGUGUGUUUUAAUACAGUUUUCCAGCCCUCUGCAGAUAUAGUCUUUCAUUAGACUCGAGGAGAUAGAGCACCCUCUAUCUCUCUCUUUCAUGAGUUGUGGAUCUUCCCUUGGACGCCCCUCUCUGGAGUUCCUGGGCUUUUAUCCAUGUCAACCAUUAGACGUCAUCAUCUGGCCGACUCCUCCUCUCCACCUUUGUGCAGGCCUCAUCAGUGACGUAGCCCUUCGCAGUGCCAGUGUUGCUCUCUUCCACGGGCUCUUGACCUGCUGUCUUUCACUGGUGAUCUGUGUUUCUCCCCUUCAUCUGGUGAGCUUCUCCAUCUCUAAGGAGUUAUUUCUUCUUUUUUUCAUAGCAGGAGAGUUGUUGUUUCGAGUAUGUGCAUACAUCAGUUAUUUUUAGGUUUUUCUGCUCAACUUUCCUGUAAGUGACAAGAUGCCGCUGUGGGAUCAACCCUGUCACUAUUCAAAACCCUGAUUCCUGAAAUAUCAGAAGAAGGAUUACACACAUUCUGACCAGUAUCAAGGGGAGGACAGUGUGUGGUGCCCCCAGUGGAGGAUGAAGAAGCACUCAGCCCGAGUGGCUCCUCUCAGCUCAUACAGCACUCAGGUCCUGACCUGCCCUAACUUUGAAGCCUCCUGGUAGCAGUGUAAUGGUAAUGGAGUGUGUAAAUGGAGAAUCGUGUGCCUGCGGGACUGUCGAUCGAAGACGCUGAAGAUAUCUACCUAUUCGGAACCAUGAUAACAGGGUUCUUGCUGAUCGGAGCUGGCUUGGCCCUGGCUUAUCGAAGAAUUAAGAAAGCGGAACCGGCUGUUCAAACCCCCACAAGGCUGCCCGCUGGGAUUGAAAUGAUGGGACGAGGCGUGACUUCUCAGAAUGGGCUCAUUGAGUGCAGCACGGAUAAGAUCUUGGAGAAGCUUACGGCUGCCGUGAACACUCAGAAUAACACCUCUGAGCGCAAAUUGGAUCACAUCUUGGACCAGCUCACUGCGUUCGUGAGUUCUCAGAAUCUGCUCUUUGAGCACAAGAAUGACAAGACCACGGAGCACAAGUUUGAUAACAUCAUGGAGAAGCUCACGGCUCUCCAACGGGAGAUUGAGAGACCAGUGUCGGACUGUUAAGAAGAGCUUUGAAAUUAUGAGUUGUUCGCACUAAAGAAAACCACCAUCAUAAUGUGGCUAUCCCUUCGGCGCCAGCUGCGGGCUCAAGGCUGGAGCUGAACAAAAACUCCCUGAUAACGACUGUGUUUAGACUGUUCUUCCCAUUCCAAGCAAGGCCACCUGGGUUGGCUGGAAGACUGUUUACUUAGCCUGGCAGGGCGAAGGACACUGUCUCAGCUGAACUCUGGACACGCACACACAUACACAUACACAUACACUGAUAAGCACUCACUCAUCCCCCCCUUUCCAAACGCCUUCGAUGCUUGUUCCCUCCUAGAGAACAUGACAGGUCUGGGCCCGCGCUGGGAUGGCGGCGCAGUGGCAGGAUGGCUGCUGUGUUUGCUUAGGAUUACUCCUCACCCCCUACCCAACCCUGUGGCUUGUCACAUGCUCCAUAAUGUUGUGCUGUGGACAUUCAUGUGCUUUCUGUGCAGAGGAGUUUUUUUGUUUCCUGUUCUUAUGCUGUCCUCCCAUAGGAGCCCGGCAUGAGUAGAGGUCUCUUUUUUUCCUCUUGUACUUUCCCAUUGUAGUGUACAUUUCAGUGGUUUUCUGUAAUGUUACCGAUCUCCGACCUGUAUCCCCAUGUGAUGUCUGCGUUGUGUGUGUAAGUUCGGGGGGCGGGUCCAUUCCACUGCAGGGCAACCUGCAUGUGGCGAAUAAAGCUGAUUGACUGACUUGACUAAAGCAUGGUAGCGGGCCUGUUGUUGUUCCCCCUCAUCUGAUUAAACAUUUUAGCCCCCCCACCUUUAACUCUGUAAACAGAGAUUACUGUGAUGCCACUAAUUAACUUUUCAUCAGGAUCAUGAUAUCCAUGUCUCAUCUUCAGGCCUAAUAUAGAUAAAGACUUAAUGCGUUUUGACCUGUGCUAAGCUGGCUAAAAACUGCAGACAAGACUAUGGUCGUGUCCAAAUUCAUGGGCUGCAUCCUCCUGAGGCCGCAUUUGUAGACCGAUUACGUCACAGCAACACGCCGAGGCUGUCCAAAUUCGUAGACUCCUCUGAAUGCAAAUGCGUCUUCCUUUUCCCCGAAUUUGAAGGUUGGGUCGGGUGUAUCUUUCGUGGCCCACCAUAUCCCAGAAUUCAUAGCGCGGCCCAGCCAACUCCAGUUUCGAGCAAUGGCGGCCGCUAGUAAGUUUUAAUAUUACUCUUAUUAAUCUUUCUGUGUCACAAAAUAAACUUUUAACACAUUUUCAGGCAAGAAUGUAGCUGUGUAAACUUCAAAUAUCUGCGCGGUUUAUCAAGAAAUCACAUAUUUGCAAAAGUGCUCCGACGUUUACGGCGAGGUCUGUUAUCCACCAGCUCGAUAGCUAGCCAGGAGCUUGAGGGUCACUAGAGCCGCUGAGAACGGCAAACUCCCAGCACAUCAUUUUCAGAUCAGAUUUUCUGUUUUCCCUGAUAGGGGUAUUCCUUGUGUCACUCAAGAAUGCGAGUUUGAUUGAUGACCUUUUGGCCUGAUCUUUUGACCUUACCGGAAGUACUUCGGAAGUGGGAAGCGUGAUUAAUCAAAACCAGAUGUGUGGCUAAUCGAGAUGCAUGACGAAUUGCGUCCGAUGACAAAGAAAAAUUAUGUUUGUAAAGAGAGGGAGGGAGGGGGUCGUACCUGGGGCACAGGUUUGAGGAAAGUUCAGGGGGGAGUCAGUGGAAAUCAGAUCGCAUACAGCUGUAUAGAGAGAGACAGAGAAUUUACAACUUUUUAAAAGAGAGAGAGAGAGAGAGAGCAAAUCGAUCAAACUUUUCUACAGCACGUUAUACCACUCCGGGUCGAGAGGAGCGAUAUAGCAUGGACCGGUUGAAUGACUAUGUCGGAUUGAAGCAUGACCGAAAGCGUGGCAGGGACUUUCCCUUUGAACUUCUUCCUGUUCCAUGAUUAACCUCCAACUGUUAAAUGUUUCCUCAAUAUUGCUGUAAGUAACAACAAAGUUAGUUUUUUAGGAUCAGACAGGGGUCCAGUCCCAAAACUUUCCUUAUACAUUCCCACAGACUUGAGCUGUCACUGAAUUAGCAUCUGUGGGACAAAUAAGCUUCAGGGACUGACUUGCCUUUUAGAACCGACCUUACGAGGCCUUUAGAGGCCUUUUAAUUUUUACCCAAAGAGAAAUUUGAUCCUCACAAACUAAUAUCAGAUAAAACAAAAAACAAAAACAUGAUACUGUUUAGUUGUGAUGAACAGUAACCACUUACCUCAACUUUGAUGGGUUUUUUUUCUCAGCUAUUUAUUCUGCACAGAGCGUUUCUGGUGUGGCUUAUGCAAAAGAGAAUUGCAACAACACAGCAUGUUUCUCUUCUCCCUUUCACACAGUAAGUAUGUCUGUUGUAGACUGCGCUUUAUAAAUGUCUCUUUGAUUAUUCAAUCGGUCUUUGAAAACUUUAUCGUCAUCACCAGCAUGCUUUGUACCUCAGGCUCAUCCGAGACAAUCGUAUCCAGGUAAAAUAAUUUUCUUUAAUCUACACACUUUUAGGAAUUAAUUAGCUAAUUUCAUGGAUAAUUUCAGUGACUGAAUUAUUGCCGGUCAUUCGUACAUUUACUUUAUUAUAUAAAAUAUGUAAAUUAAAUCUCUUUGAAACUUUUAGAAUCUAAUCUGUUGGUUUCUUUUUUUCAUAGCAUUUUAUCAAAGUGUUGUCUGCUACAAAGUUAAAAGUAUUGUACUAGUAGUAAUAUACCAUCCACUAUCUCCUGCUUGCAUAUUUCUGAAAACAUGUUAGUGGUGUGGUGGCCAUGGAUUGAGCCAGCCCUGCAAACCCUGUGGAUGGACGAUGCAGUGGACAGUGGGAGGAAGCAUCCUGAAGCUCUCUUUGCAGACCACUGUGUGUGAUUCUCCACUCGCCGACCAGAAAAGACAAACGGCAGGUCUCAGUUGCAGCACCUCAUCCAUCCAUGUCUGAUCCUGCAUCGGCAGAUUCAGCAACACAGCCAGAGACUUCCUGUAAUCUAUUACAGUUGUUAAAAAAAAAAAAAACGGUCCAGGAACAGGUCACUCAGGUUAAUCCUGUAUAAACAACUGUAAAUAUCGUUUUUUCUUCUUUAAAUAUUGUUGGCUUAUUAGAAAUAUUCUUGUUCAAUUGUUGUUGUUAUUUACUUUAUUGCCAUCAAAUAAAUAUCCAUGUAAAAUUGUCCAAAGUUAGCAUUAUGUUCAUACAUGUUAAAAAUACCUGAAAAUAAAAUGAGUUCAGUGACAGUUAGUGUUUGUUGUAGUCAAUUUAUUAAUAACAAAAAAACUUUUAAACUAAUGCAACACAUAUAACAAUGUCACAAAAUAUUCAAAUAAAUACAUUUCUUAAUGCAUAACUGAUUUUGGAUCUGAUCUUUCAAGAAGUGAAAGUCUGUCCAUCCUCUCACUGAUCGAAUCGAUCGAUUCGGGACCUUGUGAAUCUGAAUCGAAGCCCAACUCGUCUCCACCAAACGCG
This is a long non-coding RNA of Oreochromis aureus, 4694 nucleotides long. The record is from Ensembl. Lineage: Eukaryota; Metazoa; Chordata; Actinopteri; Cichliformes; Cichlidae.